ACUCCUACGGGAGGCAGCAGUGGGAAUAUUGCACAAUGGGCGCAAGCCUGAUGCAGCCAUGCCGCGUGUAUGAAGAAGGCCUUCGGGUUGUAAAGUACUUUCAGCAGUGAGGAAGGUGGAUGCGUUAAUAGCGUAUUCAUUUGACGUUAGCUGCAGAAGAAGUACCGGCUAACUACGUGCCAGCAGCCGCGGUAAUACGUAGGGUACGAGCGUUGUCCGGAAUUAUUGGGCGUAAAGAGCUCGUAGGUGGUUGGUCACGUCUGCUGUGGAAACGCAACGCUUAACGUUGCGCGUGCAGUGGGUACGGGCUGACUAGAGUGCAGUAGGGGAGUCUGGAAUUCCUGGUGUAGCGGUGAAAUGCGCAGAUAUCAGGAGGAACACCGGUGGCGAAGGCGGGACUCUGGGCUGUAACUGACACUGAGGAGCGGAAAGCAUGGGGAGCG
This 443-nucleotide ribosomal RNA is filed under the name uncultured bacterium. RNAcentral's name for it is "bacterial SSU rRNA". It matches the Rfam family "Bacterial small subunit ribosomal RNA", at positions 335 to 770 of the family's 1533-position model. The record is from RNAcentral.